RNAcentral lists this ribosomal RNA (437 nucleotides) under uncultured Pseudoflavonifractor sp. RNAcentral's name for it is "partial 16S ribosomal RNA". It matches the Rfam family "Bacterial small subunit ribosomal RNA", at positions 341 to 792 of the family's 1533-position model. Lineage: Bacteria; Bacillati; Bacillota; Clostridia; Eubacteriales; Oscillospiraceae. The record is from RNAcentral.
ACGGGAGGCAGCAGUGGGGAAUAUUGGGCAAUGGGCGAAAGCCUGACCUAGCAACGCCGCGUGAAGGAAGAAGGCCUUCGGGUUGUAAACUUCUUUUGUCAAGGACGAAGGACGUGACGGUACCUGACGAAUAAGCAACGGCUAACUACGUGCCAGCAGCCGCGGUAAUACGUAGGUUGCAAGCGUUGUCCGGAUUUACUGGGUGUAAAGGGCGUGUAGGCGGAUUUGCAAGUCAGAUGUGAAAUCCCGGGGCUCAACCCCGGAACUGCAUUUGAAACUGUAGACCUUGAGUAUCGGAGAGGCAAGCGGAAUUCCUAGUGUAGCGGUGAAAUGCGUAGAUAUUAGGAGGAACACCAGUGGCGAAGGCGGCUUGCUGGACGACAACUGACGCUGAGGCGCGAAAGCGUGGGGAGCAAGCAGGAUUAGAUACCCUGGUA